UUGACCCAACACCAUUACAUCAUGCUGACGAAAUACGGCAUCCAAAAUGAUUUGGGGGACUUAACUGCCUGCUGGGAGAGACCCACAGAAAUCAGGACAUUCCGUGACUUCCUGAAUGAGUGGCAACAUCAGUGGAGUUAGCCAGGACCUCCUGCAAACAAAUUCUGGAUAGCCCUUUUCCCCUUCACUCCUCAACAACCCUCUUCAAAACAGUCAAUGCCAACCACCCAGAACUACUACACAACGUUACAGUAACAUACCAGUAGAGAUGUGUAAUGGAUGGGGAAAAACCUGAUUCAACUUUACAACCUCAGCCAGAUUGUUCCACAUGAUCAUAUCACUAACGUUUAUCAAUUCAUAUA
This is a long non-coding RNA of Trachemys scripta elegans, 362 nucleotides long. RefSeq lists it as uncharacterized. The record is from RefSeq and is a predicted model, not a curated record. The transcript is spliced from 3 exons. Lineage: Eukaryota; Metazoa; Chordata; Testudines; Emydidae.